Molecule: ribosomal RNA, 254 nt
Filed under: uncultured bacterium
Lineage: Bacteria
Description: partial 16S ribosomal RNA
Rfam family: Bacterial small subunit ribosomal RNA
Source: RNAcentral
UACGGGGGGAGCAAGCGUUGUUCGGAUUUACUGGGCGUAAAGGGCGCGUAGGCGGUCGUGACAAGUCACUUGUGAAAUCUCUGGGCUUAACCCAGAACGGCCAAGUGAAACUGUUGUGCUAGAGUGCAGAAGGGGCAAUCGGAAUUCUCGGUGUAGCGGUGAAAUGCGUAGAUAUCGAGAGGAACACCUGAGGUGAAGACGGGUUGCUGGGCUGACACUGACGCUGAGGCGCGAAAGCCAGGGGAGCAAACGGG